UACGUAGGCAGCGAGCGUUGUUCGGAGUUACUGGGCGUAAAGCGUGCGGUAGGCGGGUGUCUUAAAGUUUGGUUGUGAAAUCUCCCGGCUUAACCGGGAGGGUGCGGCGAAUACUGAGAUGCUGGAGUGCCGGAGAGGUAAGCGGAAUUCUGGUGUAGCGGUGAAAUGCGUAGAUAUCAGGAGGAACACCUGCGGUGUAGACGGCUUACUGGACGGUAAC
Molecule: ribosomal RNA, 220 nt
Filed under: uncultured bacterium
Lineage: Bacteria
Description: partial 16S ribosomal RNA
Rfam family: Bacterial small subunit ribosomal RNA
Source: RNAcentral